GGAAAAGAUAUUUUACGCGGUAUUUUGCUAUUUGUGGCAGUUGAAGGAAAGGGCUUGACCGAAGUAGUCAAAGACGAUGAUGAUACUGAUAUUUGGAAAGUCGUCGAAUUUAUUAUAGAAGAGUUUGUCGACGUUCUUUAUCAGUUUUUCGUGGAAAUUUUGACAGUAGUGCAACCUGUCCUGGAAAAAAUAAUUGGAGAGAUAAUAGAUGUAUUUGCUAUACUAUUGACACUCCUGCACUCUACUUUAGAAACUGUUUAGUAUUUGGGUGUUCAGUAUAAUUUUUGAGAGAAUUUUUAUUAAUUUUACUGAAUAUAAAAUCACAAUUAAAAUAUCAAUGUAUGUACUGUACAGUUCAAAUUCACUUGUAAUUUUUC
Long non-coding RNA from Centruroides sculpturatus (bark scorpion), 377 nucleotides. RefSeq lists it as uncharacterized. The record is from RefSeq and is a predicted model, not a curated record. Lineage: Eukaryota; Metazoa; Arthropoda; Arachnida; Scorpiones; Buthidae. The transcript has 3 exons.